Molecule: non-coding RNA, 30 nt
Filed under: Cricetulus griseus (Chinese hamster)
Lineage: Eukaryota; Metazoa; Chordata; Mammalia; Rodentia; Cricetidae
Source: RNAcentral
AGCCUACUGGGAACGUGUGCAAAAUGGCGA